This 754-nucleotide ribosomal RNA is filed under the name Pagurus prideaux. RNAcentral describes it as "SSU rRNA". It matches the Rfam family "Eukaryotic small subunit ribosomal RNA", at positions 51 to 779 of the family's 1831-position model. The record is from RNAcentral. Lineage: Eukaryota; Metazoa; Arthropoda; Malacostraca; Decapoda; Paguridae.
AUGCAUGUGUAAGUACAAGCCGAUGUAAGGUGAAACCGCGAAUGGCUCAUUAAAUCAGCUAUGUUUCAUUGGAUCUGUACACCCACUUACUUGGAUAACUGUGGUAAUUCUAGAGCUAAUACAUGCACACAGAGUCCCCGACCGCAAGGGAGGGGCGCUUUUAUUAGUUCAAAACCGGUCGGGCCUCGGUCCGUAACCCACCUGUGGUGAAUCUGAAUAACUUUGAGCUGAGCGCACGGUCUCCGCACUGGCGCCGCAUCUUUCAAGUGUCUGCCUUAUCAGCUUUCGAUUGUAGGUUAUUCGCCUACAAUGGCUAUAACGGGUAACGGGGAAUCAGGGUUCGAUUCCGGAGAGGGAGCCUGAGAAACGGCUACCACAUCUAAGGAAGGCAGCAGGCACGUAAAUUACCCAUUCCCAGACCGGGGAGGUAGUGACGAAAAAUAACGAUGCGAGACUCAUCCGAGGCCUCGCAAUCGGAAUGAGUACACUUUAAAUCCUUUAACGAGGACCCAUUGGAGGGCAAGUCUGGUGCCAGCAGCCGCGGUAAUUCCAGCUCCAAUAGCGUAUAUUAAAGUUGUUGCGGUUAAAAAGCUCGUAGUUGGAUUACAGUUCCGGACUGACGGUUCACCGCCCGGUGCUUACUGUCACGCUCCGAACAGCCUGAAACAUGGCCCCGCCGGCUCGCCCGGGGUGCUCUUUACCGAGUGUCCCGAGUGGCCGGCAUGUUUACUUUGAAAAAAUUAGAGUGCUCAGA